GCACCGGAUCCCAUCAGA
RNAcentral lists this small nuclear RNA (18 nucleotides) under Arabidopsis thaliana (thale cress). RNAcentral's name for it is "snRNA_15646". Lineage: Eukaryota; Viridiplantae; Streptophyta; Magnoliopsida; Brassicales; Brassicaceae. The record is from RNAcentral.